This 654-nucleotide ribosomal RNA is filed under the name Triticum aestivum (bread wheat). Its description in RNAcentral is "partial small subunit ribosomal RNA". The record is from RNAcentral. Lineage: Eukaryota; Viridiplantae; Streptophyta; Magnoliopsida; Poales; Poaceae.
AUGAAGGGCAGGAGGCAGAGCAUGGUGCCGGACGGGGGCUGCAGCGCCAGCAAGAUGGAGCGCAAGGACGUGGAGAAGAACCGCAGGCUGCACAUGAAGGGCCUCUGCCUCAAGCUCUCCUCCCUCGUCCCGCCCUCCUCCGCACACCACCUCCGACACUAUUCUUCUACUUCUUCCUCACCACCGUCCAGCAACAAGGACGCGGCGACGCAGCUGGACCAGCUGGACAGCGCCGCGGCGUACAUCAAGCAGCUCCGGGGCCGGAUCGACCACCUCAAGCGCCGCAAGCAGGCCGCCCUCUCCGGCGGCACGGCCGGCUGCUCCUCCUCCGUCUCCGCCGGCGACUACAAGUCACAGACGGCCUCGCUGCCGGUGAUCGAGGUUCGGCACCAGGACGGGACGCUCGACGUGGCGCUGGCGAGCGAAUCCGGGCGGCCGUUCCGGCUGCACGAGGUGAUCGCCGUGCUGGAGCAGGAGGGCGCCGAGGUGGUCAGCGCCAGCUUCUCGGUCGUCGGCGACAAGAUCUUCUACACGGUCCAUUCCCAGGCGAUGUGCCCCCGCAUCGGCCUCGAGCCCGGCAGGGUCGCCCACCGGCUCCGCGGCCUCGCCGCAGCCGCAGCCGCCACCGUCUCGUCGUCGGUCCUCCUGACAUGA